This 501-nucleotide ribosomal RNA is filed under the name uncultured bacterium. RNAcentral describes it as "bacterial SSU rRNA". It matches the Rfam family "Bacterial small subunit ribosomal RNA", at positions 8 to 507 of the family's 1533-position model. The record is from RNAcentral.
AGAGUUUGAUCAUGGCUCAGAUUGAACGCUGGCGGAAUGCUUUACACAUGCAAGUCGAACGGCAGCACGGGGCAACCUGGUGGCGAGUGGCGAACGGGUGAGUAAUACAUCGGAACGUGCCCAAUCGUGGGGAUAACGUAGCGAAAGUUACGCUAAUACCGCAUACGAUCUACGGAUGAAAGCGGGGGAUCGCAAGACCUCGCGCGAAUGGAGCGGCCGAUGUCAGAUUAGGUAGUUGGUGGGGUAAAGGCUCACCAAGCCAACGAUCUGUGGCUGGUCUGAGAGGACGACCAGCCACACUGGAACUGAGACACGGUCCAGACUCCUACGGGAGGCAGCAGUGGGGAAUUUUGGACAAUGGGCGCAAGCCUGAUCCUGCCAUUCCGCGUGCAGGAUGAAGGCCUUCGGGUUGUAAACUGCUUUUGUACGGAACGAAACGGCGAGCUCUAAUACAGUUUGCUAAUGACGGUACCGUAAGAAUAAGCACCGGCUAACUACGUG